RNAcentral lists this ribosomal RNA (902 nucleotides) under uncultured bacterium. RNAcentral describes it as "bacterial SSU rRNA". It matches the Rfam family "Bacterial small subunit ribosomal RNA", at positions 26 to 906 of the family's 1533-position model. The record is from RNAcentral.
AGAACGAACGCUGGCGGCGUGCCUUACACAUGCAGUCGAACGGAGUUGAGGGGCUUGCUCCUCAAUUUAGUGGCGCACGGGUGAGUAACGCGUAGAUAAUCUGCCUGGGGAUUUGGGAUAACACUUCGAAAGGGGUGCUAAUACCGAAUAAGCUCACGGAGUCCUUGGACUCUGCGGGAAAAGGGGGGGACCUUCGGGCCUUCCGUCUCCAGAUGAGUCUGCGUACCAUUAGCUAGUUGGUAGGGUAAAGGCCCACCAAGGCGACGAUGGUUAGCUGGUCUGAGAGGAUGAUCAGCCACACUGGAACUGAGACACGGUCCAGACUCCUACGGGAGGCAGCAGUGGGGAAUUUUGCGCAAUGGGGGAAACCCUGACGCAGCAACGCCGCGUGAGUGAUGAAGGCCCUUGGGUCGUAAAGCUCUGACAGAGGGAAAGAAGUGUGUUGUGGCUAAUAUCCGCGAUACUUGACGGUACCCUCAAAGGAAGCACCGGCUAACUCCGUGCCAGCAGCCGCGGUAAUACGGAGGGUGCAAGCGUUGUUCGGAUUUAUUGGGCGUAAAGCGCGUGUAGGCGGUUUUAUAAGUCUGAUGUGAAAGCCCCGGGCUCAACCUGGGAAGUGCAUUGGAUACUGUAAGACUUGAAUACGGGAGAGGGCAGUGGAAUUCCUGGUGUAGGAGUGAAAUCCGUAGAUAUCAGGAGGAACACCGGUGGCGAAGGCGGCUGCCUGGACCGAUAUUGACGCUGAGACGCGAAAGCGUGGGUAGCAAACAGGAUUAGAUACCCUGGUAGUCCACGCCGUAAACGAUGAGUACUAGGUGUUGCGGGUAUUGACCCCUGCAGUGCCGCAGCUAACGCAUUAAGUACUCCGCCUGGGAAGUACGGUCGCAAGACUAAACUCAAAG